Molecule: long non-coding RNA, 214 nt
Filed under: Brassica napus (rape)
Lineage: Eukaryota; Viridiplantae; Streptophyta; Magnoliopsida; Brassicales; Brassicaceae
Description: long non-coding RNA (BNAP_LNC017963)
Source: RNAcentral
UGCGAACUUUAUGUAUAGGGUUUAUUAGAAAAUGAACUAGGCACGUACCCAUGUCGCAGAUGAUUGUCAUGAGCGGAACGUCAUGGUUAGGUUGCCAUAAAUGAAGUGUCGUAGACGGACUGUCCCGGGCGAGCUGUCAUCGACAUACUUCUGAUUCCGAUCAGGCUUCUUACUCCGGGAUGGUUGCGCGAACGAUCUGUGAGGACAGUGUUCU